RNAcentral lists this non-coding RNA (211 nucleotides) under unclassified sequences. RNAcentral's name for it is "RT-7 RNA". It matches the Rfam family "RT-7 RNA". Rfam says of the family: Bacteroidales. The record is from Rfam by way of RNAcentral.
ACCAGAGUCUCGGAUGGCAACCUCACAGUGCCAUCGAGAGCGUGUUAUGUAAAUUCAGUAACCCUCCUAAUGGCGUAAAUGAAUGCGCCACUAGCGAAAGAGAAAAGCCAAAGGGCGUAGUCAUAGGGUAUGACGGAUGAGAAGUCCAAUCUUCAUGUUGGCUUGCUACCGUAGCAUUCCAUCGUGAAUUUAACGAGUGGUUACAUCAACC